Molecule: ribosomal RNA, 460 nt
Filed under: uncultured bacterium
Lineage: Bacteria
Description: partial 16S ribosomal RNA
Rfam family: Bacterial small subunit ribosomal RNA
Source: RNAcentral
CCUACGGGAGGCAGCAGUGAGGAAUAUUGGUCAAUGGACGAGAGUCUGAACCAGCCAAGUAGCGUGAAGGAUGACUGCCCUAUGGGUUGUAAACUUCUUUUAUAAAGGAAUAAAACGAGGCACGUGUGCCUUUUUGCAUGUACUUUAUGAAUAAGGAUCGGCUAACUCCGUCCCAGCAGCCGCGGUAAUACGGAGGAUCCGAGCGUUAUCCGGAUUUUUUGGGUUUAAAGGGAGCGUAGAUGGGGUGUUAAGUCAGUUGUGAAAGUUUGCGGCUCAAACGUAAAAUUGCAAUUGAUACUGGCAGUCUUGAGUACAGUUGAGGUAGGCGGAAUUCGUGGUGUAGCGGUGAAAUGCUUAGAUAUCACGAAGAACCCCGAUUGCGAAGGCAGCUUACUAAACUGUGACUGACAUUGAUGCUCGAAAGUGUGGGUAUCAAACAGGAUUAGAUACCCGAGUAGUC